RNAcentral lists this ribosomal RNA (566 nucleotides) under uncultured bacterium. RNAcentral's name for it is "bacterial SSU rRNA". It matches the Rfam family "Bacterial small subunit ribosomal RNA", at positions 338 to 917 of the family's 1533-position model. The record is from RNAcentral.
CCUACGGGAGGCAGCAGUAGGGAAUAUUGGGCAAUGGACGCAAGUCUGACCCAGCCAUGCCGCGUGCAGGAAGAAGGCGUUAUGCGUUGUAAACUGCUUUUAUACAGGAAGAAACGACUCUUGCGAGAGGCAUUGACGGUACUGUAUGAAUAAGCACCGGCUAACUCCGUGCCAGCAGCCGCGGUAAUACGGAGGGUGCAAGCGUUGUCCGGAUUUAUUGGGUUUAAAGGGUGCGCAGGUGGUUUAUUAAGUCAGUGGUGAAAGACGGUCGCUCAACGAUUGCAGUGCCAUUGAAACUGGUAGACUUGAGUAAAGUAGAGGUGGGCGGAAUUGAUAGUGUAGCGGUGAAAUGCAUAGAUAUUAUCAAGAACUCCAAUUGCGAAGGCAGCUCACUUGGCUUUUACUGACACUCAUGCACGAAAGUGUGGGUAUCAAACAGGAUUAGAUACCCUGGUAGUCCACACUGUAAACGAUGAUAACUAGUGUGGCCGAAUCUGUCGGUGCCACNGCGAAAGCGUAAGUAUCACUGGGAGUACGCGCACGGUGAACUUAAAGGAAUUGACCGG